GAUGAACGCUGGCGGCGUGCUUAACACAUGCAAGUCGAACGAGAAGUGAAGACGGAAACCUUCGGGCGGAAGGCUUUAUUUCGAGUGGCGGACGGGUGAGUAACGCGUGGGUAACCUGCCUCAUACAGGGGGAUAACAUUUGGAAACGACUGUUAAUACCGCAUAAGACCACAGCACCGCAUGGUGCGGGUGUAAAAACUCCGGUGGUAUGAGAUGGACCCGCGUUCGAUUAGCCAGUUGGCGGGGUAACGGCCCACCAAAGCGACGAUCGAUAGCCGGUCUGAGAGGAGGACCGGCGACAUUGGGACUGAGACACGGCCCAGACUCCUACGGGAGGCAGCAGAGGGGAAUAUUGCACAAUGGGGGAAACGCUGAUGCAGCGACGCCGCGUGAGUGAAGAAGUAUUUCGGUAUGUAAAGCUCUAUCAGCAGGGAAGAAAAUGACGGUACCUGAGUAAGAAGCCCCGGCUAACUACGUG
RNAcentral lists this ribosomal RNA (478 nucleotides) under uncultured bacterium. RNAcentral describes it as "partial 16S ribosomal RNA". It matches the Rfam family "Bacterial small subunit ribosomal RNA", at positions 28 to 507 of the family's 1533-position model. The record is from RNAcentral.